GUUCAAAAUGACUAAUAGUAAUAAUAAUUUUAGUAGUAAUAAUAGACCAUGGAAGACUGGAUAUUCCAAAUGAUAAAAUUACUGGAUUUGAUCCCCUUCAAAGUAAUAAAAUUAUCAGAAUUGACCAAUUUCAUGGGAAACACCCACUGCCAUGACAUCACAAAAUGGCGUCUGUACAGCGGAAAACAAAUCACAUAUGGUCGGAUGCUUGAGUGUUCUACCAUGACGUCUCUUCAAAAUCUAAAUAAAUAGAUUUACAGUAUAAUUAGGAUGAUCAAAUUUUCAUAGAAAAAAUAAAGGAC
RNAcentral lists this long non-coding RNA (302 nucleotides) under Androctonus crassicauda. Lineage: Eukaryota; Metazoa; Arthropoda; Arachnida; Scorpiones; Buthidae. The record is from RNAcentral.